This 67-nucleotide ribosomal RNA is filed under the name Aspergillus amstelodami. Its description in RNAcentral is "partial 28S ribosomal RNA". It matches the Rfam family "Eukaryotic large subunit ribosomal RNA", at positions 1 to 65 of the family's 3401-position model. Lineage: Eukaryota; Fungi; Ascomycota; Eurotiomycetes; Eurotiales; Aspergillaceae. The record is from RNAcentral.
GGUUGACCUCGGAUCAGGUAGGGAUACCCGCUGAACUUAAGCAUAUCAAUAAGCGGAGGAAAGUGAC